UCCAGACUCCUACGGGAGGCAGCAGUGAGGAAUAUUGGUCAAUGGGCGAGAGCCUGAACCAGCCAAGUCGCGUGAGGGAAGACGGUCCUACGGAUUGUAAACCUCUUUUGUCAGGGAGCAAGGAGCGCCACGAGUGGUGCGGCGAGAGUACCUGAAGAAAAAGCAUCGGCUAACUCCGUGCCAGCAGCCGCGGUAAUACGGAGGAUGCGAGCGUUAUCCGGAUUUAUUGGGUUUAAAGGGUGCGCAGGCGGAAGAUCAAGUCAGCGGUAAAAUUGGGGGGCUCAACCUCUUCGAGCCGUUGAAACUGGUUUUCUUGAGUGAGUGAGAAGUAUGCGGAAUGCGUGGUGUAGCGGUGAAAUGCAUAGAUAUCACGCAGAACUCCGAUUGCGAAGGCAGCAUACCGGCGCUCAACUGACGCUCAUGCACGAAAGUGUGGGUAUCGAACAGGAUUAGAUACCCUAGUACC
RNAcentral lists this ribosomal RNA (466 nucleotides) under uncultured bacterium. Its description in RNAcentral is "bacterial SSU rRNA". It matches the Rfam family "Bacterial small subunit ribosomal RNA", at positions 330 to 796 of the family's 1533-position model. The record is from RNAcentral.